This 411-nucleotide unclassified non-coding RNA is filed under the name Hevea brasiliensis (rubber tree). Lineage: Eukaryota; Viridiplantae; Streptophyta; Magnoliopsida; Malpighiales; Euphorbiaceae. The record is from RNAcentral.
GUCCAUGGUAAGAAGCACAGACUGAUUUCCCUUGACAGCAUCAGCCAUGAGCCUCUGGGCUCGCUCGGAGGAGUUUGCGCUAAGGUAGCUUUGAAUGGCAGAGUAGACCUCGCUGCGCCUGAAACGGUCCCCUGUGUAUUCAUGGAAGGUAAUUUGGAGGUAUGGAUAGAAAAGACCCACCAACUUCUGACCAUAUCUAUCAACAUAGCGGCGAAGUUGAAGGGGAAAAUAUCGCUCAAACAUAGCCCAGGCAAGCAAUAGGCCACCAAUUGCUGAGCCUAGCUGAGUCAACAUCUCUACCACGCUCAUUCUGCUUCUUUGGGCUUAAAAUUAUUAUUAGCUGGAAGGAUAGAGAGCCACACUUGCGCUGUGUGUGGAUACAAUAGGAAGAAUUAAAUAUUAGAAUAAAGC